AAACGUAGGAGGCGAGCGUUAUCCGGAAUCACUGGGCGUAAAGGGCAAGUGGGCGGUUGCAAAAGUUGGGCGUGACAGGUCUCGGCUUAACUGAGAAAGGUCGCUCAAGACUAUGCAACUAGAGAGCAGGAGAGGAAGGCGGAACUCCUAGUGUAGCAGUGGAAUGCUUAGAUAUUAGGAGGAACACCGGUGGCGAAGGCGGCCUUCUGGUCUGCAUCUGACGCUGAGAGGCGAAAGCUAGGGUAGCAAACGGGCUUAGAUACCCCGGUAGUCCUAGCUGUAAACGGUGGAUACUAGGUAUUGGGGGUAUAGACUCCCGCAGUGCCGAAGCAAACGCGUUAAGUAUCCCGCCUGGGGACUACGACCGCAAGGUUAAA
Molecule: ribosomal RNA, 377 nt
Filed under: uncultured bacterium
Lineage: Bacteria
Description: bacterial SSU rRNA
Rfam family: Bacterial small subunit ribosomal RNA
Source: RNAcentral